RNAcentral lists this ribosomal RNA (461 nucleotides) under uncultured Sphingobacteriales bacterium. RNAcentral's name for it is "bacterial SSU rRNA". It matches the Rfam family "Bacterial small subunit ribosomal RNA", at positions 920 to 1378 of the family's 1533-position model. The record is from RNAcentral. Lineage: Bacteria; Pseudomonadati; Bacteroidota; Sphingobacteriia; Sphingobacteriales.
CCCCGCACAAGCGGUGGAGCAUGUGGUUUAAUUCGAUGAUACGCGAGGAACCUUACCUGGGCUCAAAUGUAUGUUGACGUAUUCUGAAAGGGAUACUUCUUCGGACAAUAUACAAGGUGCUGCAUGGUUGUCGUCAGCUCGUGCCGUGAGGUGUCGGGUUAAGUCCCAUAACGAGCGCAACCCCUAUCAUUAGUUGCCAUCAGGUCAAGCUGGGGACUCUAAUGAAACUGCCUACGCAAGUAGUGAGGAAGGUGGGGAUGACGUCAAAUCAGCACGGCCCUUACGUCCAGGGCUACACACGUGCUACAAUGGCCGGUACAAAGGGCAGCUACCUGGUGACAGGAUGCUAAUCUCGAAAACCGCUCUCAGUUCGGAUCGGAGUCUGCAACUCGACUCCGUGAAGCUGGAUUCGCUAGUAAUCGCGCAUCAGCCACGGCGCGGUGAAUACGUUCCCGGGCCUU